This 414-nucleotide ribosomal RNA is filed under the name Triatoma dimidiata (kissing bug). RNAcentral describes it as "partial large subunit ribosomal RNA". It matches the Rfam family "Bacterial large subunit ribosomal RNA", at positions 1912 to 2540 of the family's 2925-position model. Lineage: Eukaryota; Metazoa; Arthropoda; Insecta; Hemiptera; Reduviidae. The record is from RNAcentral.
AGGAAUUCAAUGGCCGCAGUAUUUUAACUGUGCUAAGGUAGCAUAAUCAUUUGUCUUUUAAUUGAGGGCUGGAAUGAAAGGUUGGACGAGAUAUUAACUUUCUUUAGUUUAAUUUUAAGAAUUUAAUUUUUGAGUUAAAAAGCUUAAAUUUAUUUGUUGGACGAGAAGACCCUAUAGAUCUUUAUAAUUUUAUAUUUUGAUAAUUUGGUGAUUUUAUUUAUUGUAAGUAGAAGAAUUAUUUUGUUGGGGUGACUGUAGAAUUUUAUUAACUUCUAUUAUUUUUAUUUCAUUGAUUGAUGUUUUUUUGAUCCAUAUAUUUAUGAUUAAAAGAUUAAGUUACCUUAGGGAUAACAGCGUAAUUUUUUCGGAGAGUUCAUAUUGAUGAAGGAGUUUGCGACCUCGAUGUUGGAUUAA